RNAcentral lists this ribosomal RNA (468 nucleotides) under uncultured bacterium. Its description in RNAcentral is "bacterial SSU rRNA". It matches the Rfam family "Bacterial small subunit ribosomal RNA", at positions 329 to 795 of the family's 1533-position model. The record is from RNAcentral.
GGCCAGACUCCUACGGGAGGCAGCAGUGAGGAAUAUUGGUCAAUGGGCUUACGCCUGAACCAGCCAAGUCGCGUGAGGGAAGACUGCCCUAUGGGUUGUAAACCUCUUUUGCCGGGGAGCAGAGGUCCGGACGUGUCCGGGCCGGGAGAGUACCCGGAGAAAAAGCAUCGGCUAACUCCGUGCCAGCAGCCGCGGUAAUACGGAGGAUGCGAGCGUUAUCCGGAUUUAUUGGGUUUAAAGGGUGCGUAGGCGGGCAUUUAAGCCGGCGGUCAAAUGUCGGGGCUCAACCCCGGCCUGCCGUCGGAACUGGGUGCCUUGAGUGGGCGAGAAGUAUGCGGAAUGCGUGGUGUAGCGGUGAAAUGCAUAGAUAUCACGCAGAACCCCGAUUGCGAAGGCAGCAUACCGGCGCCCUACUGACGCUGAGGCACGAAAGUGCGGGUAUCGAACAGGAUUAGAUACCCGUGUAUC